Sapajus apella (tufted capuchin) is the source of this 3797-nucleotide RNA transcript. It is a transcript of the gene named family with sequence similarity 160 member B2, with no coding region annotated. NCBI's taxonomy places the organism in Eukaryota, Metazoa, Chordata, Mammalia, Primates, Cebidae. The record is from RefSeq and is a predicted model, not a curated record. The transcript has 17 exons.
CGCGCCGGGGCCGCCGGGCCGCCGCCUCCUCCGCCGAGAGCGCCGCCGCCGCCUUCGCCCGGGAGCCGGGGGGGGGGGCCGGACGCCAUCAUGCUGAGCCGCCUUGGGGCGCUGCUGCAGGAGGCCGUGGGGGCGCGGGAGCCCCCCAUUGACCUGCUGCAGGCCUUUGUGGAGCACUGGAAGGGCAUCACACAUUACUACAUCGAGACCACAGAUGAAAACACCCCCGCCAAGAAGACGGACAUUCCCUGGCGACUGAAGCAGAUGCUGGACAUCCUGGUGUAUGAAGAGCAGCAGCAGGCAGCCGUGGGGGAGGCAGGGCCCUGCCUGGAGUACCUACUGCAGCACAAGAUCCUGGAGACCCUCUGCACGCUGGGCAAGGCCGAGUACCCGCCAGGCAUGCGGCAGCAGGUGUUCCAGUUCUUCAGCAGAGUCCUGGCCCAGGUGCAGCACCCGCUGCUGCAUUACCUCAGCGUCCACAGGCCUGUGCAGAAACUCCUCCGACUUGGUGGGACAGUUCCCGGAUCCGUUACAGAAAAGGAGGAGGUGCAGCUCACCACUGUCCUCUGCUCCAAGAUCCAGCAGGACCCAGAGCUGCUGGCCUACAUCCUGGAAGGUAAAAAGAUUGUAGCUAGGAAGAAGGCAUGUGGAGAACCCGAUGCCUUACCUAAGGACGCGGCCAGCCACAGGGACAAGGACUGCUCCCAUCAUGGUGCUCCCGCCAGGCCCCAGCGGGACGGGGAGCCCUGUGGGGCCCAGGCCUUGAACAGCCCCCUGCUGGCUGAGACUGAGGAGCUGGACGGUGGGACUGCGGAGAGCAACCUGAUCACUUCCCUGCUUGGGCUGUGCCGGAGCAAGAAAAGUCGGGUGGCCUUGAAGGCCCAGGAGAACCUGCUACUCCUGGUGAGCACAGCCUCCCCAGCGGCCGCCACCUACCUGGCACAGAGCAGCCCCUGCUGCCGUGCGAUCAUCCGGCACCUCUGCCAGCUGUACCGGUCCAUGCCUGCCUUCCUGGACCCCACAGACAUUGCCGCCUUAGAGGGCAUCAGCUGGAGGUUACCCAGUGCCCCAUCCGAUGAGGCUUCCUUCCCUGGCAAGGAGGCCUUGGCUGCCUUCUUGGGCUGGUUUGAUUACUGCGACCACCUUAUCACAGAGGCACACAUGGUGGUUGCGGACGCCUUGGCGAAGGCUGUGGCUGAGAAGUUAUUCAUGGAGACCCUACAGCCCCAGCUCCUGCACGUGUCUGAGCCGAGCAUCCUGACCUCCACCGCCCUCCUCACAGCCAUGCUGCGCCAGCUCCGCUCCCCUGCGCUGCUUCGGGAGGCCGUGACUUUCCUCCUGGGCACAGACCGCCAGCCUGAAGCCCCUGGGGACAAACCCUGUGCCCUGUAUGCUCACCUUAUCGGGCACUGUGACCACCUCUCUGAUGAGAUCAGCAUCGCCACGCUCCGGCUGUUCGAGGAACUGCUACAGAAGCCCCAUGAGGGGAUCAUCCGCAGCCUGGUCCUGCGCAACCUCGAGGGCCGCCCUUACGUGGCCCGGGGCUCGCCAGAGCCUGAGAGCUACGAGGACACCCUAGAUCUGGAAGAAGACCCCUACUUCACCGAUAGCUUCCUGGAUUCCGGCUUUCAACCUCGAGCAAAGCCUCGCCCUGCUCCUGCCACCAGUUACGAUGGCAAAACAGCAGUGACUGAGAUUGUCAACAGGUGGGGAGCAGUUUCCUGUGCCUGGUCCCCGAGGAAGCCAAGACCUCUGCCUUCCUGGAGGAGACGGGCUAUGACACAUACGUCCACGAUGCUUAUGGUCUGUUCCAGGAGUGCAGCUCCCGCGUCGCGCCCUGGGGCUGGCCUCGGACCCCUAUACCUUUGGACCUCCAUGAGCCCGAGCGACCUUUCUUUGAGGGCCGCUUCCUCCAAGUGCUGUUUGACCGCAUGUCUCGGAUUCUGGAUCAGCCAUACAGCCUGAACCUGCAGGUGACCUCGGUCCUGUCCCGGCUUGCCCUCUUCCCCCACCCCCAUAUCCAUGAGUACCUCCUGGAUCCCUACAUCAGCCUGGCCCCCGGCUGCAGGAGCCUGUUCUCCGUGUUGGUGAGGGUGAUCGGGGACUUGAUGCAGAGAAUCCAGAGGGUGCCCCAGUUCCCGGGCAAGCUACUCCUGGUGCGCAAGCAGUUGACGGGCCAGGCUCCUGGGGAGCAGCUGGACCAUCAGACCCUACUCCAGGGCGUGGUGGUGCUGGAGGAGUUCUGCAAGGAGCUGGCUGCCAUUGCCUUCGUCAAGUUUCCCCCGAAUGGUCCUCUCCAGAACGUCUCUCCAGCCCCGGAAGGGCAGGUCUGAGCCAGGAGCAGGGCAGUGGGAGACUCCCACUGCCCCAGAGCUGCCUCCUGUCUGGCACUGCCACCGCCACCAUACUCCCCUCCUGGGAUGGGGGCUUUGGCUCUUAUGCUCACUCAAGGAGGCCGUGACACGUUGACCACACCAGACUGGGUUUCAGGGAAUGGGCCUGCCAGGUGCCAAGGAGCCAAACAGAUGGCUUUCCAGGCAGCAGGGUCCUUGGGGCCUUCUUGAAGGAGCUGAGUGAUGGCCAGGUGAGCACCCAAACCGCAGACCCUCAGGCGCUGUGUGCCUGGCCCGCUCUGUACUGACCAUUUGUGGCCAGGGCCAAGACCUGUGACUCAACUCCAGGGGCAAGAUGGGGAGUAAGCUGAUGGCUCCAAGACUCGUGGGGAGCCCAGGCCAGGAGAUGGGGCCUGGAGCCCUGUCUGUGUCACAUUAGGUACCAUGGGAGCUGGUGAGACCUGACAUUUUGUCCUUUUCUUCAUGGCUUAGCCCAUGGAGAAGGAGCAGUGAAUGGGAUUGUCGGGGAAGCCCCCCUCUUCCUGCUCUGCUCCCCUGGAAACUGUUGCGAAACCUUUAGCCGCCUCAUGGCAAAUGCCCAAAGCAUGUUCCACACCCGGGCGGGGGCUGCUGCUAAUGAGAACCUUGGUGCAGCUGCUGCCAGGAGGGGAGCAGGCCGGGAGCUGGGGAGCUGGGGAGCCAGGGAGCCAGGUGCCCGGCCUUGGUCCAGCUGGUUCCUCUCUGGUGCCUUCUGGACCUGUCUCAGCAGGUCCACAUCACCUGGGCAGAGAGGUUAGAGACUAGGGGAGGCCGGGCCUCGCCCUUCCUUCUGCCCACUGUUCUUGAUGGAAGACCCUUCUGGGGGACCAGGGAGCUCAGGAGACAGAAGAGGGCAGGGCACCCCCUGACUCCAGACAGAUGAGGGCAGGGAGUGGCUGUGGCCCAGGCAGCCAGUCCUGGUAUUGUUCUCCCUGCCUGCCCUCCAUGGCUGGGGCUGCCACCCCACCCGGUCUGAAUCUGUCUUGACCUGCAGGAAUACACAGGCGGCGCCAGGCAUUACCUCACAGCGGGACUACACAGUUGCUGGCUUUGCUUCUGGGCAAGGAGGAGCAGGCCAGAGCCUCUUUAGCUUCCUUUUCUUGCCCAUGCUGCUUCUAGAAGCCACGCACAGGUUGCCAAGAGGUGACACGAAACAGGAGGAAACUCGGUGACCUCUGCCUCUCCCGAAUUCCUCCCCGCGGGGGAGGACCUUGCCACUCUGAGAGCACUGUGCCAUGUUGGGUGCACGAACGUGGGUUAGUGUGGACGGGACGAUCUCCGUGGAUGAACUGGGUCUGGACUCCUAGGUUCACAAAAUGUUCAAGGGUCUGGGAGUCACAGACCCUCUCCUCUCCUCAAUGCACUUUGGUGUCUGCACGGUGUCUUCCCCGGACAGCACAGCAAUAAAUGGUGUGAUUGCGUGGA